AGUGAACGCUGGCGGUAGGCCUAACACAUGCAAGUCGAACGGCAGCACAGUAAGAGCUUGCUCUUACGGGUGGCGAGUGGCGGACGGGUGAGGAAUACAUCGGAAUCUACUUUUUCGUGGGGGAUAACGUAGGGAAACUUACGCUAAUACCGCAUACGACCUACGGGUGAAAGCAGGGGAUCUUCGGACCUUGCGCGAUUGAAUGAGCCGAUGUCGGAUUAGCUAGUUGGCGGGGUAAAGGCCCACCAAGGCGACGAUCCGUAGCUGGUCUGAGAAGAUGAACAGCCACACUGGGACUGAGACACGGUCCAGACUCCUACGGGAGGCAGCAGUGGGGAAUAUUGGACAAUGGGCGCAAGCCUGAUCCAGCAAUACCGCGUGGGUGAAGAAGGCCUUCGGGUUGUAAAGCCCUUUUGUUGGGAAAGAAAAGCAGCAGGUUAAUACCCCGCUGUUCUGACGGUACCCAAAGAAUAAGCACCGGCUAACUUCGUG
RNAcentral lists this ribosomal RNA (492 nucleotides) under uncultured bacterium. RNAcentral's name for it is "partial 16S ribosomal RNA". It matches the Rfam family "Bacterial small subunit ribosomal RNA", at positions 29 to 507 of the family's 1533-position model. The record is from RNAcentral.